AGCAGCCGCGGUAAUUCCAGCUCCAAUAGCGUAUAUUAAAGUUGUUGCAGUUAAAAAGCUCGUAGUUGGAUUUCUGGUAUGGUGCGCCUGAUCCACGGCUGCAAAGCUGUGAGUGUCGGUGUGCGCCUGCCAUCUUUCUAGUUAACUGGACGCACUUAACUGUGCGGUCAGCGAUCUAGAUCUUUUACUUUGAAAAAAU
This 199-nucleotide ribosomal RNA is filed under the name uncultured Funneliformis. RNAcentral's name for it is "partial 18S ribosomal RNA". It matches the Rfam family "Eukaryotic small subunit ribosomal RNA", at positions 569 to 766 of the family's 1831-position model. Lineage: Eukaryota; Fungi; Glomeromycota; Glomeromycetes; Glomerales; Glomeraceae. The record is from RNAcentral.